UACGAGAGUUUGACCUGGCUCAGGAUGAACGCUGGCGGUAUGCCUAACACAUGCAAGUCGUACGAGAGUUUUUAACUCUAGUGGCGGACGGGUGAGUAACACGUGAGAAUUUGCCUUUAGGAGGGGGAUAACAAUUGGAAACGAAUGCUAAUACCCCAUAUGCUUUCGAGUGAAAGAAUUUAUGUUUAUUCGCCUAAAGAGAAGCUCGCGGCUGAUUAGCUUGUUGGUAAGGUAAGAGCUUACCAAGGCGACGAUCAGUAUCUGGUUUGAGAGGACGAUCAGACACACUGGAACUGAGACACGGUCCAGACUCCUACGGGAGGCAGCAGUGGGGAAUUUUCCGCAAUGGGCGAAAGCCUGACGGAGCAAUACCGCGUGAGGGAAGACUGCCUAUGGGUUGUAAACCUCUUUUUUCAGGGAGGAAUAAAAUGACGUGUACCUGAAGAAUAAGCAUCGGCUAACUCCGUGCCAGCAGCCGCGGUACGACGGAGGAUGCAAGUGUUAUCCGGAAUCACUGGGCGUAAAGCGUCUGUAGGUGGUUUAAUAAGUCAACUGUUAAAUCUUGACGCUCAACUUCAAA
RNAcentral lists this ribosomal RNA (580 nucleotides) under uncultured bacterium. Its description in RNAcentral is "bacterial SSU rRNA". It matches the Rfam family "Bacterial small subunit ribosomal RNA", at positions 1 to 619 of the family's 1533-position model. The record is from RNAcentral.